GGACCAUCUGCAAAGCUCAUUGCAUGUCCAACAGAGAAAAGGGUUGUGGUGAUGGGUACCGUUGGCAUGCCAGGAGACAGGAACAAGUCCCCAAAUCCCUGGCUGUGAAGUUUACAUGCAGAAAGCCUCUCCUUCCCCUCUUGCUCAGCGGAGCUUACUUGUAGCUGUCAGCCAGCCCGCAGGAUACCUUGUAGCCCCCGAGCUGGGAGCCUGCUUGCUUUCCAGCCACUGCCUGCCCUCCAGCACGCCUGCCGCGGUGCCCCAGCAGCCUUUACUCCCACCUGUCCCACCAGGAGCACGGCUCCACGCCGCUGCCACAUGGCUGCAGGCAGUUCUGCUCUUAAGGACACACCUCAUUCUCCAAGCAGAGGAUAGCUGAGUUCCUGUGCCUC
RNAcentral lists this long non-coding RNA (392 nucleotides) under Anas platyrhynchos platyrhynchos (common mallard). RNAcentral describes it as "lncRNA (ENSAPLG00000022407.1)". The record is from RNAcentral. Lineage: Eukaryota; Metazoa; Chordata; Aves; Anseriformes; Anatidae.